AGCAGCCGCGGUAAUUCCAGCUCCAAUAGCGUAUAUUAAAGUUGUUGCAGUUAAAAAGCUCGUAGUUGAAUUUCGGGGUUAGUAGGUUGGUCAUGCCUCUGGUAUGUACUGGUCUCACUGAUUCCUCCUUCCUGAUGAGCCUUAAUGCCAUUAAUUUGGUGUUUUGGGGAAUUUGGACUGUUACUUUGAAAAAAUUAGAGUGUUUAAAGCAAGCUAACGCUUGAAUACAUUAGCAUGGAAUAAUGAAAUAGGACGUUCGAUCCUAUUUUGUUGGUUUCUAGGAUUGACGUAAUGAUUAAUAGGGAUAGUUGGGGGCAUUAGUAUUCAAUUGUCAGAGGUGAAAUUCUUGGAUUUAUUGAAGACUAACUACUGCGAAAGCAUUUGCCAAGGAUGUUUUCAUUAAUCAAGAACGAAAGUUAGGGGAUCGAAGACGAUCAGAUACCGUCGUAGUCUUAACCAUAAACUAUAGCCGACUAGGGAUC
This 482-nucleotide ribosomal RNA is filed under the name uncultured Glomus. Its description in RNAcentral is "SSU rRNA". It matches the Rfam family "Eukaryotic small subunit ribosomal RNA", at positions 569 to 1054 of the family's 1831-position model. The record is from RNAcentral. Lineage: Eukaryota; Fungi; Glomeromycota; Glomeromycetes; Glomerales; Glomeraceae.